GAUGAACGCUGGCGGCGUGCUUAACACAUGCAAGUCGAACGAAGCACUUUAUUUGAUUUCCUUCGGGACUGAUUAUUUUGUGACUGAGUGGCGGACGGGUGAGUAACGCGUGGGUAACCUGCCUUGUACAGGGGGAUAACAGUUGGAAACGGCUGCUAAUACCGCAUAGGCGCACAGCAUCGCAUGAUGCAGUGUGAAAAACUCCGGUGGUAUAAGAUGGACCCGCGUUGGAUUAGCUAGUUGGUGAGGUAACGGCCCACCAAGGCGACGAUCCAUAGCCGACCUGGGAGGGGGACCGGCCACAUUGGGACUGAGACACGGCCCAAACUCCUAGGGGGGGCAGCAGUGGGGAAUAUUGCAAAAUGGGCGAAAGCCUGAUGCAGCGACGCCGGGUGAGCGAAGAAUUUUUUCGGUAUGUAAAGCUCUAUCAGAAGGGAAGAUAAUGACGGUACCUGACUAAGAAGCACCGGCUAAAUACGU
This 480-nucleotide ribosomal RNA is filed under the name uncultured bacterium. Its description in RNAcentral is "partial 16S ribosomal RNA". It matches the Rfam family "Bacterial small subunit ribosomal RNA", at positions 28 to 506 of the family's 1533-position model. The record is from RNAcentral.